AGUGAACGCUGGCGGUAGGCCUAACACAUGCAAGUCGAACGGCAGCACAGUAAGAGCUUGCUCUUACGGGUGGCGAGUGGCGGACGGGUGAGGAAUACAUCGGAAUCUACUUUUUCGUGGGGGAUAACGUAGGGAAACUUACGCUAAUACCGCAUACGACCUACGGGUGAAAGCAGGGGAUCUUCGGACCUUGCGCGAUGGAGUGAGCGGAUGUCGGAUUAGCUAGUUGGCGGGGGAAAGGCCCACCAAGGCGACGAUCCGUAGCUGGGCUGAGAGGAUGACCACCCACACGCGGACUGAGACCCGACCAGUGCACCUACGGGAGGCAGCAGUGGGGUUGUUCCCGCAAUCGGCGGAAGACUGAAGGAGCCUUGCCUCGUGGCGGUUGUAGUCCGACGAGUCGAGAACUUCUUUUCCCCUAGCAGAAGCAAUGACGGUACCUGGGGAAUAAGCAUCGGCUAACUCCGUG
This 469-nucleotide ribosomal RNA is filed under the name uncultured bacterium. RNAcentral describes it as "partial 16S ribosomal RNA". It matches the Rfam family "Bacterial small subunit ribosomal RNA", at positions 29 to 507 of the family's 1533-position model. The record is from RNAcentral.